GUAGGUGGCAAGUGUUGUCCGGAAUUAUUGGGCGUAAAGCGCGCGCAGGUGGUUCUUUAAGUCUGAUGUGAAAGCCCCCGGCUCAACCGGGGAGGGUCAUUGGAAACUGGGGAACUUGAGUGCAGGAGAGGAAAGUGGAAUUCCACGUGUAGCGGUGAAAUGCGUAGAUAUGUGGAGGAACACCAGUGGCGAAGGCGACUUUCUGGCCUGUAACUGACACUGAGGCGCGAAAGCGUGGGGAGCAAACAGGAUUAGAUACCCUGGUAGUCCACGCCGUAAACGAUGAGUGCUAAGUGUUGGGUGGUUUCCCGCCCCUCAGUGCUGCAGCUAACGCAUUAAGCACUCCGCCUGGGGAGUACGGUCGCAAGACUG
This 372-nucleotide ribosomal RNA is filed under the name uncultured organism. Its description in RNAcentral is "partial 16S ribosomal RNA". It matches the Rfam family "Bacterial small subunit ribosomal RNA", at positions 527 to 896 of the family's 1533-position model. The record is from RNAcentral.